ACGAACGCUGGCGGCGUGCCUAAUACAUGCAAGUCGAACGGUCUUUCUAUGGAAGCUUGCUUCCACUGAGAAGAUAGUGGCGAACGGGUGAGUAACACGUGGGUAACCUGCCCAUAAGAGGGGGAUAACAUCCGGAAACGGGUGCUAAUACCGCAUAGUUUUCUUGAUCGCAUGAUUGAGAAAGGAAAGACGGCCUUUGUGCUGUCGCUUAUGGAUGGACCCGCGGCGUAUUAGUUAGUUGGUGAGGUAACGGCUCACCAAGACGAUGAUACGUAGCCGACCUGAGAGGGUGAUCGGCCACAUUGGGACUGAGACACGGUCCAAACUCCUACGGGAGGCAGCAGUAGGGAAUCUUCCGCAAUGGACGAAAGUCUGACGGAGCAACGCCGCGUGAGUGAAGAAAGGCUUUCGGAUCGUAAAACUCUGUUGUCAGAGAAGAACAAGUUGGAGAGUAACUGCUCCAGCCUUGACGGUAUCUGACCAGAAAGCCACGGCUAACUACGUGCCAGCCGCGGC
Molecule: ribosomal RNA, 516 nt
Filed under: uncultured bacterium
Lineage: Bacteria
Description: bacterial SSU rRNA
Rfam family: Bacterial small subunit ribosomal RNA
Source: RNAcentral